ACGGUUAUCCUUUAAUACCUGAGUAGUAACAGAUAUAUUCUAAAAAUUUGAAAAAUUUGGCGGUGGUUUAGUCUUGUCAGAGGAACCUGUCUUUUAAACGAUCCACCCCGAAAUAUCUUACUUGAGUUCGUGCAGUAUGUAUACCAUCAUUAUUAGGUAAUUUUUAUAGAAUAAAUUACUGAAAAAUGUCCAUAAAGUGGAAUAUAUUAGAUCGAGGGGCCGCUAAUGCGCAAGUUAAGGGGGGUUACAAUAGUAUUUAUACUCCUACGGAUAAACAAAUGAACCUUUACUUUGAAGGAGGAUUUGGAAGAUAUUUUUUACUACUAAGGUAUUUUAUGAUAACCUUUUGAGAAAGCACGCCCCCCCCGCCAACAAAAAAAAA
This 382-nucleotide ribosomal RNA is filed under the name Portunus pelagicus (sand crab). Its description in RNAcentral is "partial 12S ribosomal RNA". The record is from RNAcentral. Lineage: Eukaryota; Metazoa; Arthropoda; Malacostraca; Decapoda; Portunidae.